CUAACAUUCAAAUGAAGUAAAUGAAUUGUGUAGGAUAUUAACCCCUUAAAUGUUUUGUUUGUUUUUUUAAAUUUCUUGACCCGCUCUUAGAUGAUGGUGAUGUUUAUCUCCCUGUUCUCGGCAGCCCGAAAAGAAUGGCAUGCAGCCUCUCCUGCUCCUCCUGCCGCCUCUCCUGUACCAACAGCUUCUCCACCCAAGCCUGGGUGCUCCUGGGGAGUCCUGCAUUAGAGGAAGCAGCUGCUGGAUCUACUGUGCAGUGGGGUUGUCAUGGGGGAGAACCCUCCCUGUCCUCUCCCGGUGCAGCCUCCAUGCUAUCAGUGAGGCUCACUAAGAUCUUCAGAGAGAGGGAGGGGGGUGGGAAUCUGAGCACAGUGCGAGCCUCCCCUGCUCCUGCCUGCCCACCCCGCCUGAGGGCUCUACUCAUCACUCUGCUUGUCCGCACACCCAAGCUCCUGUGGGACUGGUGCUCAGAUACUGGUCUGGCUGCUGCUGCAGACUGGGAGCCUCUUGGCUCUUCAGCUCCACCUGCCGGAAGACCCUGGGCAUGAGGACAUGUGGUGGCUGGCUUCCAGAUUCCUGGCCCAUUAAUAGGGUAGCGAGGGCACUGUGGGGCUCUGUGGCCUGCCCAGGCCCCUGGCCCCUUGCUCCAGGCCUAAGAGACUGGCUCCCUUGCCUAGAACCCCAUGCCUCCUUCCCUAGCAUCAAAUCUCACGUCCUUUUUCCCAGCAUUUAAACUGUAGGCCACAGACUGGUGGAAAAGCAGGCGGAGCCAACCACCAUCUGCUAAGUGUGCUACAUGCCUAAUGUUUCCACGUAUUAUCUCAUUUAAUCCUCAGGACCUCUGCAAGGAAAAGGCUAACUUCCUUUUGAAGUUAAAGAAACAGAGACUUAGAGAUGCAAAGUAGUUGAAUUAUGACCAGUGGAACCGAGGCCGGAAUCCAGUUUGAAUCUAAGGAGUCUUUUUUGUUUUUCUGUUUUGUUUUGUUUUGUUUUGAGAGAGUGUCACUCUGUGUCCCAGGCUGCAGUGCAGUGGUGCAAUCUCAGCUCACUGCAACCUUCACCUCCCGGGCUCAAGUGAUUCUCGUGUCUCAGCCUCCCGAGUAGCUGGGAUUACAGGCAUGCACCACCAGGCCCGGCUAAUUAUUAUUAUUAUUUUUAAUUUUAGUAGAGAUGAGCUUUCACCAUGUUGGCCUCAAACUCCUGACCUCAAGUGAUUGUCCUGCUUCAGACUCCCAAAGUGCUGGGAUUGCAGGCGUGAGCCACUACACCCGACAUAAGGAGCCUCUUAUACCACUGUCUCUUCCUCUGUGAUUGGGGGGCUCCAUGCCUCUAGCUGGGAUGAUGAUGUCCAGACCUGGGAGGACCCCAGGGCUACCCACCUCUAAAAGUCAGAGGGCAGGAAGCAAGAAACAGUCAUAGGACUGCCCCGGAGGGUGCUGGGGUCACCUGUCCCCAGGCUGCAGCUGCCUGUGGCCUGGCACCUCCCCUCCCCAGAGGCUGGUGCCCGCCUCCCACAUCUUCUUGGAUGGGUCGGAGGUUACAGUCUCUUUCAGCUCACCCGACUUCUUCAGCUCCUUUACUUGCUGCUCCAACUGCAGUGUGCUCUUGUUCUCGUUGUUCUGGACAGAGAGAAGCAAUCAGUGGCCACCCACUAAAACUGGAGACCCCAGAACUUAGUGUCUGCCUCCCAUGGCACCGGGAAGGGUGGAGGCAGGUGGGGAAACAAAGGCCUUGAGGGUUAGGGAAGAGGGCAGCCUCCCCAGGUGGAACGCACCAGCUCCUCGAAGCCGCUGCGUGACUCGGCCCGCUGCUCGUAGAGGGCUUCCCACCCCAGCUCCAGCAUCCUCUCCAGCUCCCGCAGCCUCUCCAGCUCCUGCAGAGUCUCCUGCUGCCACAGCCUCUCAUCCUCUUGCCGAAGCCUCUCCUGCUCCAGGAGCUCCUCCACCUCGUCCAGCAGCCUCUCCCUCUCCAGCAGCCUCUCCUGCUCCUCCUGCCGCCUCUCCUGUUCUAACAGCUUCUCCACCUCUUCCAGCAGCCUCUCCUGCCCUGGCAGCUUCUCCCGUUCACACAGCCUCUCCUCCUGUUCACACAGCCUCUCCUCCUGUUCACACAGCCUCUCCUCCUGUUCACGUAGCCUCUCCUCCUGUCUCCUGUUCAGGAGACUCAACAUCUGAUUGUUUUCCACCUCAGCCUGGAGCUGUCUUCCCACACUCUCUAGCUCCUUCCUUAGGUGGUUGGUCUCAUCUUGUAGCUGCUCCACCUUAGAUGGCCCUGCUGGGGGCUCUGGGGCCAGGGGUUCAGCUGAGAAAGGAAGCAGACAAUAAGGGCCUCUAGAGUUAAAAAAAAAAAAAAAAAAAAAUCCUCCCUUCGGUGCACAGCUCCUCCUCUCAGGCUUCCCAAACUUGGCCUCACUGCUAAUGACUCCUCACACCCGGAUGGUAGCCAAUCUUCCAAGUCACUUUCAGAUAGAGAGCACUGUGGGUGGCGGACAAUGGGCACUCCUCCCACUUUACUGAUGGGGACACUGAGGCUCAUGGAGAUGACAAGACUUGUCCUCCCCUGGCACAGACCUCUUUCCCUCUGCCUCAAAGCCCUUCCAUCCACCCACCUCCCUGGGGCAUUCUAAGUCACCCUCACAGCCCUCUAAUGCCAGUCCUGCUGCCAGGUCAUGCCAGCCCCAUCUUACCCGUCUGGUUUUUGAGUUUGAACAAGCUCCUCCCAAGCUUCUGUACCCGAUGUAUCUCAUGCUUCUUCUCCUCCUUAGAUGUGCGAACCUGCCCAAAGCAAAGGGGGAAAAGGGCCCUGGAGGGAGGGGCUGGUGAACCUCUAGAGACAGAGUUUGAGAAAGGCCCACCCCCCUUCUGCCAGUUUGUGAUUUAGAAACGUGCAUUCAUUCAACAAACAUUUACUGAGCAUGUACAGGCCAGGUACAGUUCUUCAUAGCAGAGAUAUAAAACAGCAAAGGACAGACAGGAGCCCUUGGCCCUGAGGUUUCCAUUCUAGGGGCCUUUAAAUCUCUGACUUUCAGAGCUAACCGAGACCUUUGAUACUCUCUGCCUCCUCCAGAAACACGAGCAUAAAGAGGAGAGAUGACUUGUCCAGACUCAAAAAGCAAAUUAGGGACUGAGGCAGAGCAGAAAUAUGGACCCCUGACAACCAGUCAGGCUAGUGCUUCCCGGAAAGGUGACAACCCCAGGGCAUGUGUGGCAAGGACUAGAGCAGGGGUGUCUGGAGAAGAGAGAGUCAGCAAAGAGGGCAGUGCAGAAGAGCCAUGCUGCAUGUUCUGUGCUCUGGGGUCCCUCCAGGCGAGACCUGGGUGCCCAGCUCCCCAUUUGCCCUUGGCAUCAGGGGCCCCUAGCCCCUUUCUUCAGGGCCCCAAGAGGAAACUGGAGUCCGGGAUUGACCAGCUG
This 3410-nucleotide long non-coding RNA is filed under the name Pan troglodytes (chimpanzee). RNAcentral's name for it is "long non-coding RNA NONPTRT005470". Lineage: Eukaryota; Metazoa; Chordata; Mammalia; Primates; Hominidae. The record is from RNAcentral.